GUAGUUUGACGUCCGUGGCGUCGGAUGAACGCUGGCGGCGUGCCUAAUACAUGCAAGUCGAACGCGGGCACUUGUGCCCGAGUGGCGAACGGGUGAGUAAUACAUAAGGUAACCUGGCCUUUACAGGGGGAUAACUGCUGGAAACGGCAGCUAAGACCGCAUAGGUAGGGACACUGCAUGGUGACCGUAUUAAAAGUGCUGCAAGGCACUGGUAGAGGAUGGACUUAUGGCGCAUUAGCUGGUUGGUGAGGUAACGGCUCACCAAGGCGACGAUGCGUAGCCGACCUGAGAGGGUGACCGGCCACACUGGGACUGAGACACGGCCCAGACUCCUACGGGAGGCAGCAGUAGGGAAUUUUCGGCAAUGGGGGGAACCCUGACCGAGCAACGCCGCGUGAAGGAAGAAGGAAUUCGUUCUGUAAACUUCUGUUAUAAAGGAAGAAAGACGGAUGGAGGAAAUGACAUCCGAGUGACGGUACUUUAGGAGAAAGCCACGGCUAACUACGUG
RNAcentral lists this ribosomal RNA (508 nucleotides) under uncultured Coprobacillus sp. RNAcentral describes it as "bacterial SSU rRNA". It matches the Rfam family "Bacterial small subunit ribosomal RNA", at positions 1 to 507 of the family's 1533-position model. The record is from RNAcentral. Lineage: Bacteria; Bacillati; Bacillota; Erysipelotrichia; Erysipelotrichales; Coprobacillaceae.